Long non-coding RNA from Megalobrama amblycephala (Wuchang bream), 1371 nucleotides. RefSeq lists it as uncharacterized. The record is from RefSeq and is a predicted model, not a curated record. The transcript has 5 exons. Lineage: Eukaryota; Metazoa; Chordata; Actinopteri; Cypriniformes; Xenocyprididae.
UUCGCGGUUUAGUUCGAAUCGUAAAGUCGGCAGCUGAAUCGUUUGGUGCGUUUGUACACACGUCUUUUUGUUUUCCUGUGAGGUCUUUAUUAAGUUCAUUACCUUCUCGUGCAGCCCGUGAACGACUGCAGGUGGAUUGUUUUGUGAACAUGUCACACUGUAAGCCAGACAUUGCAAAGAGGCUGUUAUUGAAGAAUGGGGCGGCAGCAACUAUAUUGGAUUCAACACAAACCUACAAACUUAUGCACUCUGAUGAUAUUGGAGGAUAUCUGGACUGCAGGAGUGGAGUGAUGGAUAGUACACACCUCAGUUGCCGGUGACAGAUUAAUGAUGCCCCCAUGGAGAUGUUUCUGAAGGACAGUAUCUGUGAGGGGACGUCUGAUCGCCUCUGCACCCUCACCAUGGGACCAGGUCCAACGGAUCUACAGGCCCGCAGGGUGGACCAGACAGACACAGCGUUCCCACUCUGUAUCCAGGCUAAUUUCAUAAAAGAUGGAGAAUAUUCCCACAGAAAGCACGAACACAGAACACUGAUCUAAGAACCCAUGCUGUUGCUCCACCACUGCAGGACCCUACUGAUCCAGAAGAGGAAGGAGAGAAAGAGAGAGAGAGAGGUGGAUUGAGCCUCAGCCUUGUCAGGAUGGAUUAAAGGAAAGUCUUUGAGGGUUUUUUCAGAAAUGCUGAAACUGAGCUUCCUGCUCUCCACAGUUCUUUCACUCCUGGCUCUCGCUUUUAUCCUUCAUUUUAUCUCAAGCCGUUCAUUAAUAGUCCCUGAAAUUAACGAGCACGUCAUACAUCCGUGAACACCUUCAAUAAACCAUCAGGGAGGCCUCAGAAUGACAGAUGACAUCCGUCCGUCUCUGUACGGGGAAGCAUGGCCUGACAGACUGAAAAAGAAGAUGUCACUCAUAUAAUGGACUGCUUUAGCCCCGCCCACUUCAGUGAGCAAUAAACAAGUAAACGUGCAAAGAAACACUCUGGGCCUCCGAAUUUCAAACCUGACCGUCUCGCUCACACAGACUCCCAAAACACAGCCAUGGGUAAUUAAACUCUCCAUUGUGAAGGCAGGGUUUGAUAACGUACUUCUCUUUAUUCAGCCAUAUUUAUGUCUCAUCUCUGCAUAGCGCAGGGCAUAUUGUACACUUGAAAAGAGUCGUGAAGAGCUUCAAUCACACACAGGACACACACACGCAUACAAACACAACCCACGCACGCAAUCACACUCAUCUCCUCAAGAGGACAUUAUUGGAAACUCCCUGCAGAAAACAUUACUUCAGGCCUGAGGAAUAAAUGAGGAUGGUUUGGCAGAAGACUGCUGGUAACCUGCAUGGCUUAUUUUAACCUGCCUCAUUACAACAACCUUUAGUCCCA